RNAcentral lists this ribosomal RNA (478 nucleotides) under uncultured bacterium. Its description in RNAcentral is "partial 16S ribosomal RNA". It matches the Rfam family "Bacterial small subunit ribosomal RNA", at positions 28 to 507 of the family's 1533-position model. The record is from RNAcentral.
GAUGAACGCUGGCGGCGUGCUUAACACAUGCAAGUCGAACGAGAAGUGGAGACGGAAACCUUCGGGCGGAAGACUUUAUUUCGAGUGGCGGACGGGUGAGUAACGCGUGGGUAACCUGCCUCAUACAGGGGGAUAACAGUUGGAAACGACUGUUAAUACCGCAUAAGACCACAGCACCGCAUGGUGCGGGGGUAAAAACUCCGGUGGUAUGAGAUGGACCCGCGUUCGAUUAGCCAGUUGGCGGGGUAACGGCCCACCAAAGCGACGAUCGAUAGCCGAUCUGAGAGGAUGACCGGCCAUAUUGGGACUGAGACACGGCCCAAACUCCUACGGGAGGCAGCAGUGGGGAAUAUUGCACAAUGGGGGAAACCCUGAUGCAGCGACGCCGCGUGAGUGAAGAAGUAUUUCGGUAUGUAAAGCUCUAUCAGCAGGGAAGAAAAUGACGGUACCUGAGGAAGAAGCCCCGGCUAACUACGUG